Molecule: ribosomal RNA, 437 nt
Filed under: uncultured Oscillospiraceae bacterium
Lineage: Bacteria; Bacillati; Bacillota; Clostridia; Eubacteriales; Oscillospiraceae
Description: partial 16S ribosomal RNA
Rfam family: Bacterial small subunit ribosomal RNA
Source: RNAcentral
ACGGAAGGCCGCAGUGGGGAAUAUUGGGCAAUGGGCGAAAGCCUGACCCAGCAACGCCGCGUGAAGGAAGAAGGUCUUCGGAUUGUAAACUUCUUUUAUGAGGGACGAAGGACGUGACGGUACCUCAUGAAUAAGCCACGGCUAACUACGUGCCAGCAGCCGCGGUAAUACGUAGGUGGCAAGCGUUAUCCGGAUUUACUGGGUGUAAAGGGCGCGUAGGCGGGGAUGCAAGUCAGAUGUGAAAUCUAUGGGCUUAACUCAUAAACUGCAUUUGAAACUGUGUCUCUUGAGUGUCGGAGAGGUAGAUGGAAUUCCUUGUGUAGCGGUGAAAUGCGUAGAUAUAAGGAAGAACACCAGUGGCGAAGGCGAUCUACUGGACGAUUACUGACGCUGAGACACGAAAGUGUGGGGAGCAAACAGGAUUAGAUACCCUGGUA